CCUACGGGCGGCAGCAGUGAGGAAUAUUGGUCAAUGGGCGAGAGCCUGAACCAGCCAAGUCGCGUGAGGGAAGACGGCCCUAUGGAUUGUAAACUUCUUUUGCAGGGGAGUAAAAGACGGUAUGUGUACCGUAUUGUGUGUACCAUGAGAAUAAGGAUCGGCUAACUCCGUGCCAGCAGCCGCGGUAAUACGGAGGAUCCGAGCGUUAUCCGGAUUUAUUGGGUUUAAAGGGCGCGUAGGCGGACGGUUAAGUCAGUGGUGAAAGUUUGCGGGUUAACCGGAAAAUUGCAGUUGAAACUGGCAGGCUAGAGUGCAGGAGAGGUAGGCGGAAUUCGUGGUGUAGCGGUGAAAUGCGUAGAUAUCACGAAGAACUCCGAUUGCGAAGGCAGCUUACUGGACUGCAACUGACACUGAGGCUCGAAAGCGUGGGUAUCAAACAGGAUUAGAUACCCGUGUAGUC
This 460-nucleotide ribosomal RNA is filed under the name uncultured bacterium. RNAcentral describes it as "partial 16S ribosomal RNA". It matches the Rfam family "Bacterial small subunit ribosomal RNA", at positions 338 to 795 of the family's 1533-position model. The record is from RNAcentral.